RNAcentral lists this long non-coding RNA (1719 nucleotides) under Mytilus galloprovincialis (Mediterranean mussel). The record is from RNAcentral. Lineage: Eukaryota; Metazoa; Mollusca; Bivalvia; Mytilida; Mytilidae.
UGUGAUGUUAUGCUAUUGUUUCAGAAAAAGGGUGAAGGUUUGGAUCCAUUAAAACGUUUAAUCCCGCUGCAAAUGUUUGCACCUGUCCUAAGUCAGGAAUCUGAUGUGCACUAGUUGUCGUUUGUUUAUGUAAUUUAUACGUGUUUCUCGUUUCUCGUUUUUUUAUAUAGAUUAGACCGUUGGUUUUCCCGUUUGAAUGGUUUUACACUAGGGGCCCUUUAUAGCUUGUUGUUCGGUGUGAGCCAAGGCUCCAUGUUGAAGGCCGUACAUUGACCUAAACUGGUUUACUUUUAUAAAUUGUUAUUUGGAUGGAGAGUUGUCUCAUUGGCACUCACACCACAUCUUCCUCAGGCGCGUAGCAACCCGUACGCAAAAACGCAGUUGCGUACACAUUGAAAAUUUGACAAAAAUGAAAAUAUGGUAAAUCUAGUUAGAAUAAAACUGUAGUAAUAGAAUUAAUUAUAAAGUGUUAUAAAAAUAUUAUAAUAGUCACUCAAGUUGUAACUAUAUUCCGUUCCGGAAACUAGUUUUCUCUUUACAUUUUCGGGACCAGCAUCGUGAUUGUGCUGCUGAUGCAAACCAUUAAAAUAGCUGAGUCCUCGGGGUUUCAGAAUACAAUAAGUGCGUCUACUAUGCCUCCUUACCCUGACAUCUUUUCUGAAGAUUUCAAAAUGACUGAUGAAAUAAAACGUGAUGUUCUGUUAAUAAUUUUGCAGCCUAUUCGCCGUUUUUCUUUUUACGAUUAACGUGUUUUUUACUUUUUUAUUUUAUGUUCGGUCGUGCAAGAUGGGUGCCUCGUUCAUUUAAUUAUACGUGUCUCGAGAUUAAAAGUGUCUAUUCUCCAUGUGCAAAAUUUAAAGUGCUUGUUUUCCUUGCUUUGUAAAAAUAAAAGACUCGUUUUUGGAAGUUGAUAAAAAGAACUCAGAUUUAGUAUUGAAGCUUUUCAAAAGUCACGAUUUAUUUACAAAUGUAUAGUUAAAGGUUUCCAAACUAUGAUGUUAUAAACAAGGAUUUAUACCCGGGAAUCUUUAAAAUACUUAACAUAUAAUAUGCAUGUAUGUCGGUCUGGACGACAACGAUAGAACUCUCUUUCAGUACCAUGAGACGACUAAAGAAAUACAAUGAAAUCCAUUCGUUCAGCUGGGCUUGUUCUAUUGAACAUAUAUCACGAAAAACAAAUUUCAACAGACACGGUUUUGGAUAACUGGAAAGGCAAUGGUCAUUGACCAUCAGAACUAACUUUGAGAAUUAAAAGCUAAAAGAAAGACUGCUCUUAUAAAAUAAAAUAGAGAAAUGUAAUUCGAUUUAUUUAUGUAUUUUCUCAAUAUAAAAAAAUAUCCUUUAAGGCUUAGAAAUUUGGAUUUUCUCAGUGAAUGUAUAGUGGGUUGAGACUGAUUAUGUAGCAAUUAAAAUAUAUGGUGGUGGCACUAUUAUAUAUUAGUUGUUACCUGAUAUAUAAAUAAGCUCUACCCACUACACAUUAGAAUUUUUUAUUUUCUCUCAUUUUUUUUUUCAAAUUUAAUUAUUUUCAAAAGUUGUCUUGUUACUCAUGAAAAUAAGAUUUCUGUGAGGUCAUUUUCAGUCGCAGGAAAUCCCGAGAAUGCAGGAUUUUGCACCAAUUACUCUAGAGCUUGUCGCCGUAUGACUUCUUUCCCCGGCAUUGCGUACACAUCAUUUUGGCCUAGCUACGCACCUGUUUCCUAUAUCUAAGUGGUGCAA